Molecule: unclassified non-coding RNA, 427 nt
Filed under: Hevea brasiliensis (rubber tree)
Lineage: Eukaryota; Viridiplantae; Streptophyta; Magnoliopsida; Malpighiales; Euphorbiaceae
Source: RNAcentral
CUCAUAUCAGCGUCACAAGUAGAAAAGUAAAGGCAGAUAAUCUUUCUUCUUAUCAUGUGAGUCAUUGCCCAUUAAUAGUUACUGGAAUUCAGCUCAACAAUGCAUUAACUCUCCAAGUUGGUAGUUUUUUAUUCGUUAUCCUUGAUGCUAACAUUUGAUGAAUAAUGAGAACAUAUCAGAUAACUAAAAAUAUGAGAAAGUAGUAAGCUUCUUUCAUUCAAGUACCUCUUCUUGUGCUAUUACUUUUCCUUGUGAAGUUAGUUCGUGUUUGAAGAAUCAUUGUCUGAUUUUGCAUUUCUUGAAUGAAAGUGAUGUUGCCAGCUUAGUCAUAAGUUUACUUCUUGAAACCGACACUUAUAGUUUUGACCAGUUCUGUUUAAAUAAUUACCUAUAUUGGUCUGACACCCUGUAGUUUUAGCCUGGGCAG